Molecule: ribosomal RNA, 440 nt
Filed under: uncultured bacterium
Lineage: Bacteria
Description: bacterial SSU rRNA
Rfam family: Bacterial small subunit ribosomal RNA
Source: RNAcentral
CCUACGGGUGGCAGCAGUGGGGAAUAUUGCACAAUGGGCGCAAGCCUGAUGCAGCCAUGCCGCGUGUGUGAAGAAGGCCCUAGGGUUGUAAAGCACUUUCAGCAGUGAGGAAAGGUGUGUGGUUAAUACCCGCAUACUGUGACGUUAACUGCAGAAGAAGCACCGGCUAACUCCGUGCCAGCAGCCGCGGUAAUACGGAGGGUGCAAGCGUUAAUCGGAAUUACUGGGCGUAAAGCGCGCGUAGGUUGAUUGGUCAGUCAGAUGUGAAAGCCCCGGGCUCAACCUGGGAACUGCACCUGAUACUGCCAGUCUAGAAUACGGUAGAGGGUAGUGGAAUUUCCUGUGUAGCGGUGAAAUGCGUAGAUAUAGGAAGGAACACCAGUGGCGAAGGCGACUACCUGGACCGAUAUUGACACUGAGGUGCGAAAGCGUGGGGAGCA